UACAGAGGGUGCGAGCGUUAAUCGGAAUUACUGGGCGUAAAGGGUGCGUAGGUGGUUACGUAAGUUAGGUGUGAAAGUCCUGGGCUUAACCUGGGGAUUGCGCCUGAUACUGUGUGGCUAGAGUACUGUAGAGGAAAGUGGAAUUUCCGGUGUAGCGGUGAAAUGCGUAGAUAUCGGAAGGAACAUCGGUGGCGAAGGCGACUUUCUGGACAGCUACUGACACUGAGGCACGAAAGCAUGGGGAGCAAAC
Molecule: ribosomal RNA, 250 nt
Filed under: uncultured bacterium
Lineage: Bacteria
Description: partial 16S ribosomal RNA
Rfam family: Bacterial small subunit ribosomal RNA
Source: RNAcentral